CCUGCAGAGUGCAGAGGGUGGGGAAGGAUAAGGAUGCAGCUGAUGCCCCCUUGAAAGGAGGCACAGACAUCCGCAACAGCAAGCGGGUUGGAACUUAAUAUUCAAACAGAAAGGCAGCAGGGCACUUAGAAUGCCUCCCCGAACUCCACCCCUAAUCCCCUGUCGAUAUUUGAACUCUACUGUAUUCCACUCAUCUCCAGCCUCACUGUCAACUUUUAAUCUUGGCCACAAUGAAGUAAGACCAGUAGGAAAUUUAUAAAGACUCUCACACAAACUGUAGCAGAACUUAGACACUCAACAGGGCACUGCUCCAGAGGGAGGAGGGAAUGGGGGGUGGAGAGGCACCAUGAGCACUUAUUUACUAAACACCUUCUCAUUGUCCCAGGGAGAAUCAGCAGGACCUCUGAGCAAGGUGCCCCGAGAAAGUGAAAGGAAUGAUGACCUCUUAAGAAAUGUUUUAUUCCCUUCCUGACGAAAUGUGGGGAAGGAGCAGUCUGCCUUUCUGGGUUCCUUCCCUUUACUCACUAACCACUGGCUCUGUCACACCUCCAGGCUUCGCUGAGGCAGUCCACUCCAACUGGAGCCCCUGCCCAACCUCCUUGUCACCCUCGGUUCCUGUGGGACACGCCUCCCCUGGCUCCCAGGCAAUACGGUCACUGCCCCUCCCACCCAGGACCCUGCCCUCCGGGACAGCUCCGGGACAGCACCGGGCCAGCCUCUUGCUUGAACUCGCCACUUGUCCUGACUGCAGUUCUGAGGGGUAAAGUUGGUUGGAUCCAUGGAUGUGAAACCUGGGGAUAGGAAAGGCAUACUGUAUCCCCUGCCUUGUAGCAGCUCACAAUAUAAUGGGGAAUGGUUCCCUGCCAGCGAACAUGCUGUGUUUCGUUCAAUCAUUCAAAACAUUUGAGUGUCCACUGUGUGCCAGACGUGCUGGUCCCUCUGCUGUGCACAUCAUCCUCCUUGGUGUGAUGCUCCUUCGAGGCUCAGUUCAGAUGCUACUUCUCUGCUUGGCUUUUCCAGACUGCAUGAUACCCAGGCUGCCUGGCUGGGUCUUCCCAUGUAUUCCACCCCUGACCUGUACUGCCCCUGUUGCCAAGCUAUUUAUCAAAUUAUGUGAUUAAUAUCUGGGUAUUUUCUUACACUGGACCUCACUCAUAAGGGCAGGAGCUCUGUCCCGUUCACACACGAUCCUUCCCCGCCACGGCACUGCCCAGCACACAUAUGCUAGCAAAAAUUAUUUGACUGAAUAAAUCAGUGGUUUUCCAAGGAA
Long non-coding RNA from Homo sapiens (human), 1270 nucleotides. RefSeq lists it as uncharacterized. The record is from RefSeq and is a predicted model, not a curated record. Lineage: Eukaryota; Metazoa; Chordata; Mammalia; Primates; Hominidae. The transcript has 2 exons.